RNAcentral lists this ribosomal RNA (314 nucleotides) under uncultured soil bacterium. Its description in RNAcentral is "bacterial SSU rRNA". It matches the Rfam family "Bacterial small subunit ribosomal RNA", at positions 26 to 337 of the family's 1533-position model. The record is from RNAcentral.
AGAGUGAACGCUGGCGGUAGGCCUAACACAUGCAAGUCGAACGGCAGCACAGUGGUAGCAAUACCAUGGGUGGCGAGUGGCGGACGGGUGAGGAAUACAUCGGAAUCUACCUUUUCGUGGGGGAUAACGUAGGGAAACUUACGCUAAUACCGCAUACGCCCUUCGGGGGAAAGCCGGGGAUCGCAAGACCUGGCGCGGAUAGAUGAGCCGAUGUCGGAUUAGCUAGUUGGUGAGGUAAUGGCUCACCAAGGCGACGAUCCGUAGCUGGUCUGAGAGGAUGAUCAGCCACACUGGAACUGAGACACGGUCAGACU